AAGAGUUAUGGGGCCAAUUCUCUAAAUUUAUCUGCAAAAGAAAUGGAAUUGAUUUCCUGAGAGAAGAUGAGAAAAUGUCACUUCCCUUUAUGAUUAGGUGGCCCAUUUCAAGAAGACAGAUUUGGCCAUGAGAGCCAGCUCUUCAACCUCGCUCCUACAUGUUUGUGCCAUAUUCCCAUGUAAUUUUUUUGGCAUGACAAAAUACUCCAUGCUCUUUUUGAAUCUAUUCUAACUCUAACUGUAGAAUAAACCAUUUUCUCAAGGAGCUGAGGUUCCCGUUUGCUAGCACCUUUUACUUAAGAGACCAACAAUUUCCCACUGAUCUCUGUUUUAAAGGAAGAUUGCAUAUACAGGUGGAAAUGAGGCCCAUCAUUCAUUCUGAGCACAAUACCCAGCCUGAGUCAUAAAGUCCUUACUCUCCUCUUUGUUCAGAGAAAAACCUACUCAAUACAGUCUCCUGCUGUUGCUUGACAGAACCUGGCUAGUAUUCGGAGGGAACAGAUCUUCUUGAUCUGUGAUUAUCCUACAUACCACAGAAUUGCUGGUCUGCAGCACUAGAGUUCAGUAAUAAUCCCAACCAUGGUGAUAAUCAAAAUACCAUUACAAAAGAUAUUCCUGAACUCCCCCCCUGGACAAUGACACUGACCUCCAUGAGAACCAUCAGGUCUAUCUCCAACCCAGACCCAAGACUUGCUUUACAACUGCAUGAAGUCCCUGCUCAAUUCCAUCCAGGAGCAGGUUCUCUGUAUGUUCUUGAUAUGAGAUGACCGAAGAAUGGGUGGCAGAUCUGAGAGAUGGACAUGUUUUACCUCCAGAAAGUCAUCAAACAUCUGAAUCACAGGUGCUUUUUACAUCUUUGGAUCCCCCACCACACGCAACCAAUGACAAGCGGUUGGUUUAAUUUUAAAGAAGAAUUUCUUUGGA
Molecule: non-coding RNA, 924 nt
Organism: Ictidomys tridecemlineatus (thirteen-lined ground squirrel)
Lineage: Eukaryota; Metazoa; Chordata; Mammalia; Rodentia; Sciuridae
Source: RefSeq, a predicted model, not a curated record